UACGAAGGGGGCUAGCGUUGCUCGGAAUUACUGGGCGUAAAGGGCGCGUAGGCGGAUACUUAAGUCGGGGGUGAAAGCCCGGGGCUCAACCUCGGAAUUGCCUUCGAUACUGGGUAUCUUGAGUUCGGGAGAGGUGAGUGGAAUGCCGAGUGUAGAGGUGAAAUGCGUAGAUAUCGGGAGGAACACCUGUGGCGAAAGCGGCUCACUGGACCAUUACUGACGCUGAUGCUCGAAAGCUAGGGGAGCAAACAGG
This 253-nucleotide ribosomal RNA is filed under the name uncultured bacterium. RNAcentral's name for it is "partial 16S ribosomal RNA". It matches the Rfam family "Bacterial small subunit ribosomal RNA", at positions 524 to 776 of the family's 1533-position model. The record is from RNAcentral.